GUGUGUGUACAGCUUGAUUGACUCCCUUGCCGUACCUGUGAGAGCGAGCACUACACUGUAAAGCUUCAGACACCUGGUCAACAUGCGGGGACACCUUCUGAUUGUUGUGGUGGUUGUGGUGGUGGUGUGUCAGCUCACGAACUCCAUGGCCGAUACAGAGGUCAGAGGUCAGAGCCUGUUGCAUCUGUUGACUAAGCGACAAGCCCAGUUGUUACCGCUUGCAACUGACAGAUUUCCAGUCUGUUGGUGUUUCACGUACCCGUGUGACUGCUACCCGUCACCUCCACGAUUCCCUCCUGUGCUUGUGUAGCAGCUUUGCCAGUCUGUCCUGCAUGUGGAUGAUAAACAAACCGUGUAUGACGAGCAUCAUCAUGAUAGUAUUUUACUCAAAAAGAAACGAUGAAAUAAUUACCUUCUCCUGACUUGUUUGUCAACAUGAAUUUAACGGUCAGAAUGGUUGUUUACUUCAAAGUAUCAACUGACUGAGCUCUUUGCCAGAGACUUGCUCCUCCAGUAUCAUUCAGUCCUCAAUCCUCCAAUUCACACACCUUUAUAUUUGUUCAGCCUCUUGUAACCUAAAGUGAAAGAAACAUUCUUAUCAAUAAUACAAAUAUUUGUGACAGAUAUCUGUAAAUAUGUAACGAGACAAACAAACAAAAUACACACUGACUGUAACUGACUUUUCCUAUGGAUUCAAGAAUAAAAACCCAACAAAGGUUGAUUAAUGAUCAUUAA
Molecule: long non-coding RNA, 735 nt
Organism: Pomacea canaliculata
Lineage: Eukaryota; Metazoa; Mollusca; Gastropoda; Architaenioglossa; Ampullariidae
Exons: 2
Source: RefSeq, a predicted model, not a curated record